RNAcentral lists this long non-coding RNA (669 nucleotides) under Calidris pugnax (ruff). Its description in RNAcentral is "lncRNA (ENSCPUG00000003265.1)". Lineage: Eukaryota; Metazoa; Chordata; Aves; Charadriiformes; Scolopacidae. The record is from RNAcentral.
CGUGGAGCUGUGCAGGGAUGAAUUGUCAGUUGGUCCUGUUUUGACUGUGGAGACGCAAUGUUAUGAAAAAAAUGAGAGAAUAAUUGUCAAAAUAAUAGCAGAAUUCCUUCAAGCUUGAAAGUGAGUGCUCUAAGCUUGAGACCCAUUCUGGAGAAAUUUCCUCUAUGCGGUAUAAUUAAUUUUGCUUUUUUAAUUGAGUUUGUACUUAAGGUUGGGGUUUUUUUGUUAUGCUAAUGACAGACAUGCUGCUGCAUUAUUCCUGUCUUGUUUUGUCAUAGGAGGAUUUCCUUCUCAAAUCACUCAUGGGUUAGUAAUGAGUCGUCACAGAAGAAAAACUCCAGUACGCAGUUCUGAUAACUUAUACAAGAAGUCUGAAAACAGACUCAUGAGAAUCGUAAGAGAUGCAGAGUCAUGGAAAAUCUAAACAAGAAUCUCACGUUGCAGACUGACAUGCUCAGGCAUGAACUCCAGGCCAAGGCUCAAGAAUCAAGAGUCGUGAAUGUGGUGUUAUUGCUGCAUCUGCUUCAUCUGCCCCUUUUAUCUGAUGUGGACCUCAAAGGACAAAGACCAGGUUUCAGAAGCAUGAAAAUUUCCUUGUGAUUAUUUCAUAAAAUAGCAUGAAAACCAGAGACAGAGGGGAGUAAUUUGCUGAUGCCCUGCUAUCCUGUG